GAUGAACGCUGGCGGCGUGCCUAAUACAUGCAAGUAGAGCGCUGAAGGAGGAGCUUGCUCUUCUGGAUGAGUUGCGAACGGGUGAGUAACGCGUAGGUAACCUGCCUGGUAGCGGAGGAUAACUAUUGGAAACGAUAGCUAAUACCGCAUGACAACAGUUAUUGCAUGAUAACUGUUUAAAAGGGGCAACUGCUCCACUACCAGAUGGACCUGCGUUGUAUUAGCUAGUUGGUGAGGUAACGGCUCACCAAGGCGACGAUACAUAGCCGACCUGAGAGGGUGAUCGGCCACACUGGGACUGAGACACGGCCCAGACUCCUACGGGAGGCAGCAGUAGGGAAUCUUCGGCAAUGGACGGAAGUCUGACCGAGCAACGCCGCGUGAGUGAAGAAGGUUUUCGGAUCGUAAAGCUCUGUUGUAAGAGAAGAACGAGUGUGAGAGUGGAAAGUUCACACUGUGACGGUAUCUUACCAGAAAGAGACGGCUAACUACGUG
Molecule: ribosomal RNA, 495 nt
Filed under: uncultured bacterium
Lineage: Bacteria
Description: partial 16S ribosomal RNA
Rfam family: Bacterial small subunit ribosomal RNA
Source: RNAcentral